Molecule: transfer RNA, 85 nt
Filed under: Pantoea phage vB_PagS_AAS21
Lineage: Duplodnaviria; Heunggongvirae; Uroviricota; Caudoviricetes; Demerecviridae
Rfam family: tRNA
About the family: Transfer RNA (tRNA) molecules are approximately 80 nucleotides in length. Their secondary structure includes four short double-helical elements and three loops (D, anti-codon, and T loops). Further hydrogen bonds mediate the characteristic L-shaped molecular structure. tRNAs have two regions of fundamental functional importance: the anti-codon, which is responsible for specific mRNA codon recognition, and the 3' end, to which the tRNAs corresponding amino acid is attached (by aminoacyl-tRNA synthetases). tRNAs cope with the degeneracy of the genetic code in two manners: having more than one tRNA (with a specific anti-codon) for a particular amino acid; and 'wobble' base-pairing, i.e. permitting non-standard base-pairing at the 3rd anti-codon position.
Source: Rfam by way of RNAcentral
GGAAGAAUGCACGAACGGUUAAGUGAGCAGACUGCUAAUCUGUAGUUUCGAAAGAGGCUCCUGGGUUCGAAUCCCAGUUCUUCCG